Molecule: transfer RNA, 83 nt
Organism: Colletotrichum chlorophyti
Lineage: Eukaryota; Fungi; Ascomycota; Sordariomycetes; Glomerellales; Glomerellaceae
Rfam family: tRNA
About the family: Transfer RNA (tRNA) molecules are approximately 80 nucleotides in length. Their secondary structure includes four short double-helical elements and three loops (D, anti-codon, and T loops).
Source: Rfam
GGCCGGUUGGCCCAAUGGCAAGGCGUCUGACUACGAUUGCUCGUGAUAUCAGGAGAUUCUGGGUUCGACCCCCAGGCUGGUCA